GGCUCGGUAGCUUAGUUGGAAAAGCACUUGUCUAGGGUCGUGAGUUCAAAUCUCACCUGAGCUG
Aedes albopictus (Asian tiger mosquito) is the source of this 64-nucleotide non-coding RNA. NCBI's taxonomy places the organism in Eukaryota, Metazoa, Arthropoda, Insecta, Diptera, Culicidae. The record is from Rfam.